Molecule: ribosomal RNA, 685 nt
Filed under: Sporosarcina sp.
Lineage: Bacteria; Bacillati; Bacillota; Bacilli; Caryophanales; Caryophanaceae
Description: bacterial SSU rRNA
Rfam family: Bacterial small subunit ribosomal RNA
Source: RNAcentral
AAGUCGAGCGGAUCAAUGGGAGCUUGCUCCCGGCGAUCAGCGGCGGACGGGUGAGUAACACGUGGGCAACCUGCCCUGCAGAUGGGGAUAACUCCGGGAAACCGGGGCUAAUACCGAAUAAUCAGUUCCUCCGCAUGGAGGAACUCUGAAAGGCGGCUUCGGCUGCCACUGCAGGAUGGGCCCGCGGCGCAUUAGCUAGUUGGUGGGGUAAUGGCCUACCAAGGCAACGAUGCGUAGCCGACCUGAGAGGGUGAUCGGCCACACUGGGACUGAGACACGGCCCAGACUCCUACGGGAGGCAGCAGUAGGGAAUCUUCCACAAUGGACGAAAGUCUGAUGGAGCAAUGCCGCGUGAGUGAAGAAGGUUUUCGGAUCGUAAAGCUCUGUUGCGAGGGAAGAACACGUACGGGAGUAACUGUCCGUACCUUGACGGUACCUCGUCAGAAAGCCACGGCUAACUACGUGCCAGCAGCCGCGGUAAUACGUAGGUGGCAAGCGUUGUCCGGAAUUAUUGGGCGUAAAGCGCGCGCAGGCGGUCCUUUAAGUCUGAUGUGAAAGCCCACGGCUCAACCGUGGAGGGUCAUUGGAAACUGGGGGACUUGAGUACAGAAGAGGAAAGCGGAAUUCCACGUGUAGCGGUGAAAUGCGUAGAGAUGUGGAGGAACACCAGUGGCGAAAGCGGCUU